UCUGGCUCAGGACGAACGCUGGCGGCGUGGUUAGACAUGCAAGUCGAACGAGAAGCUCCCUUCGGGGAGUGGAGAGUGGCGCACGGGUGAGUAACACGUGAGCAACCUGCCGGGAAGCCCGGGAUAGCCCUCCGAAAGGAGGAUUAAUACCGGAUGUGGCCACCCUGCGAUUGCAGGGGAAGCUAAAGGAUUUAUUCACUUCCCGAGGGGCUCGCGGCCCAUCAGCUUGUUGGUGAGGGUAACGGCCCACCAAGGCGACAACGGGUAGCUGGUCUGAGAGGAUGGUCAGCCACACUGGAACUGAGACACGGUCCAGACACCUACGGGUGGCAGCAGUCGAGAAUCAUUCGCAAUGGGGGAAACCCUGACGAUGCGACGCCGCGUGGAGGAUGAAGGCCUUAGGGUUGUAAACUCCUGUCAAGAGGGAAUAAGCAAGUGAAGGUACCUCUAGAGGAAGGGGCGGCUAAUUCCGUGCCAGCAGCCGCGGUAACACGGAAGUCCCGAGCGUUGUUCGGAUUCAUUGGGCGUAAAGGGUGCGUAGGCGGCGCGGAAAGUCCGGCGUGAAAGGCAGGGGCUCAACCUCUGGACUGCGUUGGAUACUUCCGUGCUUGAGGACUGGAGGGGAGACUGGAAUUCACGGUGUAGCAGUGAAAUGCGUAGAUAUCGUGAGGAAGACCGGUGGCGAAGGCGAGUCUCUGGACAGAUCCUGACGCUGAGGCACGAAGGCUGGGGGAGCGAACAGGAUUAGAUACCCUGGUAGUCCCAGCAGUAAACGAUGUGAGCUUGAUGUGGGGGGAUUCGACCCCUUCCGUGUCGAAGCUAACGCGAUAAGCUCACCGNCUGAGGAGUACGGCCGCAAGGCUAAAACUCAAAGAAAUUGACGGGGACCCGCACAAGCGGUGGAGUAUGUGGCUUAAUUCGAUGCAACGCGAAGAACCUU
This 940-nucleotide ribosomal RNA is filed under the name uncultured organism. Its description in RNAcentral is "bacterial SSU rRNA". It matches the Rfam family "Bacterial small subunit ribosomal RNA", at positions 18 to 972 of the family's 1533-position model. The record is from RNAcentral.